RNAcentral lists this ribosomal RNA (445 nucleotides) under uncultured bacterium. RNAcentral describes it as "bacterial SSU rRNA". It matches the Rfam family "Bacterial small subunit ribosomal RNA", at positions 202 to 668 of the family's 1533-position model. The record is from RNAcentral.
AACACUCCGGUGGUAUGAGAUGGACCCGCGUCUGAUUAGCUAGUUGGUGAGGUAACAGCCCACCAAGGCGACGAUCAGUAGCCGGCCUGAGAGGGUGAACGGCCACAUUGGGACUGAGACACGGCCCAAACUCCUACGGGAGGCAGCAGUGGGGAAUAUUGCACAAUGGGGGAAACCCUGAUGCAGCGACGCCGCGUGAGUGAUGAAGUAUUUCGGUAUGUAAAGCUCUAUCAGCAGGGAAGAUAAUGACGGUACCUGACUAAGAAGCACCGGCUAAAUACGUGCCAGCAGCCGCGGUAAUACGUAUGGUGCAAGCGUUAUCCGGAUUUACUGGGUGUAAAGGGUGCGUAGGUGGCAAGGCAAGUCUGAAGUGAAAAUCCGGGGCUCAACCCCGGAACUGCUUUGGAAACUGUUUAGCUGGAGUACAGGAGAGGUAAGUGGAAUU